CUUAGGCAAAUGAUAACUAUUUUCUCAGUUUUCUAGAAGAAUUUAAGUCUGAAUCUGAUCUGAUAAAUUAAUACUUCUAAAAAGGGUUUGUUCCAUCCUCCUCGUAUGGGAUAUGAUCCUACAGAAAAGAAAAGCCUACGUGCAAAUUCAGGCUUCUUAAUUUGCCUACAAUUGGGUCAAGCCCAUAUCAGAAUAGGCCAUGUUUGCAAUUGACUGAAACUUGACCCAUUUAGAAAUUGGAAGAGGAGGAGGGAAGAAAGUGAAUUAUUUUUAUUUUUUCUCAUCUUCUCUCUUCGUCCGCAACUCAACACCUUUCUUUCUCCGACAAUCAAUGGAAGCCGGCAAUUCUUCCAUCCAUUUCUCCUUUUUCUUGGACAUUUAAACCGCUUUUUCAUCUUCUUUUUUGCUUUUUUUUUUCUAAUUUUUUUCCUUAUCAUAAUUUAUCUCUUUCACAACAAAAACUGCAAUACGAGUUCAAAUUUUCAGAAUCAUGGCAUAUUCCCUUCUUCGAAAUCGUAAAGCUUCGGCUUUGGUCCUUUCUCGUGUUCUUCAAGGUUCCCCUUUCAUUUCCUCUAUUUCAUUUGCAUUGAAUAUAUUUUUGGUUUUUGUUUAAUGUUUACACUUUAAAAUUGGUUCUUCCCAGUUUUGUAAACAAGUCGGGGCGACUUAAAAGGAUUUCCUUUUUUAAUUGUUGAUACUAGGCACUACAGCUUAGUUGAAAUUGAACCUAGUUUUGAUGGAACACUGAGUGAUUCUAUCGAGUUCAAUUUGUAGUAAAAAGCUCUUUAUCUGUUCUUUGGCUAAAUUAUUUAUAUAUAAUUUUUUUCACUGAAUGUAAAUCAAGUACAGGACAAUUGUUUGUUUAUACGAUUAAUUAAUAGAGACAUGAGAGGAAUAUGAAUUGUAACUCAACUAACUCUGGGAUAAAUUUUUUUUAGAACAAUUAGUUCCUGGGGAACUGCCUGG
This 966-nucleotide long non-coding RNA is filed under the name Carica papaya (papaya). Its description in RNAcentral is "long non-coding RNA (CPAP_LNC015034)". The record is from RNAcentral. Lineage: Eukaryota; Viridiplantae; Streptophyta; Magnoliopsida; Brassicales; Caricaceae.